AGCGAACGCUGUCGGCAGGCCUAACACAUGCAAGUCGAACGAACUCUUCGGAGUUAGUGGCGGACGGGUGAGUAACACGUGGGAACGUGCCUUUUGGUUCGGAAUAACUCAGGGAAACUUGUGCUAAUACCGAAUGUGCCCUUCGGGGGAAAGAUUUAUCGCCAUUAGAGCGGCCCGCGUCUGAUUAGCUAGUUGGUGAGGUAACGGCUCACCAAGGCGACGAUCAGUAGCUGGUCUGAGAGGAUGACCAGCCGCACUGGGACUGAGACACGGCCCAGACUCCUACGGGAGGCAGCAGUGGGGAAUCUUGCGCAAUGGGCGAAAGCCUGACGCAGCCAUGCCGCGUGAAUGAUGAAGGUCUUAGGAUUGUAAAAUUCUUUCACCGGGGACGAUAAUGACGGUACCCGGAGAAGAAGCCCCGGCUAACUUCGUG
RNAcentral lists this ribosomal RNA (433 nucleotides) under uncultured bacterium. RNAcentral describes it as "partial 16S ribosomal RNA". It matches the Rfam family "Bacterial small subunit ribosomal RNA", at positions 29 to 507 of the family's 1533-position model. The record is from RNAcentral.